CAUCACGUUGAAACACCGAUCCCCGUACGAUUACCGAAGUUAUGCAACGUUGAGCCUGGUUAGUAUCGAGAUGGGUGACCAUUUGGAAAGACCAGGUACUGUAA
Non-coding RNA from Acanthosepion pharaonis, 104 nucleotides. Lineage: Eukaryota; Metazoa; Mollusca; Cephalopoda; Sepiida; Sepiidae. The record is from the annotation of a GenBank genome assembly.